Nyctereutes procyonoides (raccoon dog) is the source of this 698-nucleotide long non-coding RNA. RefSeq lists it as uncharacterized. The record is from RefSeq and is a predicted model, not a curated record. Lineage: Eukaryota; Metazoa; Chordata; Mammalia; Carnivora; Canidae. The transcript is spliced from 3 exons.
UUAUUCAUAGAGAAGUCCCUGGAGCUGCCUUUGAAUUUUCUCAAGUUUGUCCUUUAGAGAGAAGGCCUUCUACUGCCCACACCAUUGAAGUCACAUCAAAGAGCAGCUCCGAGCAGUCCGUCGGACACAGCAGGACAUCAGCAGCCUGGGAUGCUGUUUGCUGCACCCAGCCUGAGCAGACCGGAGCCGCUGAGGGUGGCCGGGCCCACCCCUCGGCUCGCACAGUACGGAGGGAGGAUGCCGGUUGUCGCCCAGAGCCCAGAGAAGAGGCACCCGUGUGACCUGGAAUGAGCCGAGGCGUGGUGAAGAGGUAUUGGGAGGAGGCCAGAGAAGGGUUUUUAUGGUCCAGAAUGAUUCUGUUGCCAGCAUCUUCUGAUAGAAGGAAUUAACUUUUCCAGGCAGUGCAAUCAUGCUAUUUAUUAAAAGAAGCAUUGAACAAUCCGAAUGGACUUCAGAGCUGUGUCCUGAGCCAUCUGGCCAACUCUCGGGCAAGAAACUUCUUUGUUCUUUAGAGACCAAGCUUUUUCCCCAAGCACUAACAGAACUGAAAUGGAAGAAGUUGGAAUUAUUCGUCUUUGGUACGUAAAGAAUAGCUUACUAUUUAUGCAUACGAAGGGACAUUUUUAAAGGAAGGAAGCAAUUAGAGGAUGUUUUGUCCCCGCCUCAGUGACCUCUCCAUUUUAACCUUAGUCUUUUUA